UGCUACAGUCAUAUCACCCUGCAGCCCAAGACUGGCAACUCACUGAAGCUAAGUAGGGCUGAACCUGGUCAGUACCUGGGUGGAAGACCACAAAGGAAAAUAGGUUGCUGUUGGAA
Molecule: ribosomal RNA, 116 nt
Organism: Danio rerio (zebrafish)
Lineage: Eukaryota; Metazoa; Chordata; Actinopteri; Cypriniformes; Danionidae
Source: Ensembl